RNAcentral lists this ribosomal RNA (429 nucleotides) under Acidobacteriota bacterium. RNAcentral describes it as "Acidobacteria bacterium partial 16S ribosomal RNA". It matches the Rfam family "Bacterial small subunit ribosomal RNA", at positions 355 to 776 of the family's 1533-position model. The record is from RNAcentral. Lineage: Bacteria; Pseudomonadati; Acidobacteriota.
UGGGGAAUUUUGGACAAUGGGGGAAACCCUGAUCCAGCCAUCCUGCGUGUGCGAUGAAGGCCUUCGGGUUGUAAAGCACUUUUGGCAGGAAAGAAACGUCAUGGGUUAAUACCCCGUGAAACUGACGGUACCUGCAGAAUAAGCACCGGCUAACUACGUGCCAGCAGCCGCGGUAAUACGUAGGGUGCAAGCGUUAAUCGGAAUUACUGGGCGUAAAGCAUGCGCAGGCGGUUCGGAAAGAAAGAUGUGAAAUCCCAGAGCUCAACUUUGGAACUGCAUUUUUAACUACCGGGCUAGAGUGUGUCAGAGGGAGGUGGAAUUCCGCGUGUAGCAGUGAAAUGCGUAGAUAUGCGGAGGAACACCGAUGGCGAAGGCAGCCUCCUGGGAUAACACUGACGCUCAUGCACGAAAGCGUGGGGAGCAAACAGG